AUUAGUCUUCUACAAAUCUUAUCCUUGAGGGAUUUUUGGUAAGAUCCGUCUUUGAAAUCUUUCUUGGGUUUUCAAGAAAAAGUCUUGAUCUUUCCAAAUUCAAUUCAAUUUGAGGCAAUAACAUUGCUGGCUGAGGUGAAGAAUUUGCAAAACGACGACUCCAAAUCCCUCACUCUUUCAAGAUGAAUUAGCCAAGGCAGUACGAAAGAAGAUUGCAAGGAAGAACAUGGCAGAAAGCAAACCAGCUAAAAAUGCCACUCCCAAAAAGACUUGCAUAUGUGCUCCGACCAACCACGCAGGGUCGUUUAGGUGCCACCUCCAUCGGAUCCGCGUUGCGUGGUCGGUAGAAGACAGUCGUAGCAAAUCAAAGCUGCAAUGCAAAGCAAACUUCAAUGCCACUGCCAAGAAUGGUCUUCAUGAUGUGGUUGAGAAACAGCCGAAGCUAUCGAGAUUCGGCAGGGCUGCCUUUGCAAGAAGUUGCCACGAAAACCUUCCUUGCACAAUGGCUGAGCAAGUUAAUUAAUCUGUUCUGUAAGGUUUUAGUUAUGGUUCCUCCAGUUGUUGUAAUUUGUAAAUGACAAUAGUUUUAGAAACUUUUGCAAGUAGUUUUUCAUGUAUUUUGUUUUCCUCCUCCUUCUUAUGAUCAGCAGCGUCUCCAAUUUCAAUGGAUUUCCAUGUUUCUGAAAGUCGUAAUCUUAAGAGGAGUGUUUCAUCA
Long non-coding RNA from Prunus dulcis (almond), 715 nucleotides. RefSeq lists it as uncharacterized. The record is from RefSeq and is a predicted model, not a curated record. The transcript is spliced from 2 exons. Lineage: Eukaryota; Viridiplantae; Streptophyta; Magnoliopsida; Rosales; Rosaceae.